GACGAACGCUGGCAGCGUGCCUAAUACAUGCAAGUCGAGCGAACAGACGAGGAGCUUGCUCCUCUGACGAUAGCCGCGGAGGGGCGAGUAACACGUGGAUAACCUACUUAUCUGACUGGGAUAACUUCGGAACUCCGGAGCUAAUAACGUAUAAUAUAUUGAUCCUCAUUGUUGAAUAGUGAAAGACGGUUAUGCUGUCUCUUAUCGCUGCAUCCGCGCCGCAUGAGCUAGUUGGUAAGGUAACGGCUUACCAAGGGAACGAUGCGUAGCCGACCGGAGAGGGGGAUCGGCCACACUGGAAGGGGACCAGGGUCCAGACUCCUACGGGAGGCAGCAGAAGGGAAUCUUCGGCAGUGGGGGAAAGCUUGCCGGAGAAAGGCGGGGGGGGGGAUAAAGGUCUUCGGAUCGUAAGACUCUGUUUUUAGGGAGAAACAGAUGUGUAAGUAAAUAUGCACGUCUUGACGGUACCUAAUCAGAAAGCCACGGCUAACUACGUG
This 497-nucleotide ribosomal RNA is filed under the name uncultured bacterium. RNAcentral's name for it is "partial 16S ribosomal RNA". It matches the Rfam family "Bacterial small subunit ribosomal RNA", at positions 28 to 507 of the family's 1533-position model. The record is from RNAcentral.